This 264-nucleotide ribosomal RNA is filed under the name uncultured bacterium. RNAcentral's name for it is "partial 16S ribosomal RNA". It matches the Rfam family "Bacterial small subunit ribosomal RNA", at positions 57 to 305 of the family's 1533-position model. The record is from RNAcentral.
GCAAGUCGAGCGAGAAAGUUCCCUUCGGGGAGCGAGGAAAGCGGCGAACGGGUGAGUAACACGUGGGCAACCUGCCCAGAAGCGGGGGAUAACUUGGGGAAACUCGAGCUAAUACCGCAUACGUCUUCGAGGCUCUGGUCUCGAAGGGAAAGCUGGCCUAUACACGUAAGCUGGCACUUCUGGAGGGGCCCGCGUUCGAUUAGCUAGUUGGUGAGGUAAUGGCCUACCAAGGCGACGAUCGAUAGCCGGUCUGAGAGGGCGAUC